CACCGCCCGUCACACCAUGGGAGCUGGUAAUGCCCGAAGUCGGUUUUGUUAACUACGGAGACAACUGCCUAAGGCAGGGCCGGUGACUGGGGUGAAGUCGUAACAAGGUAUCCCUACGAGAACGUGGGGAUGGAUUACCUCCUUU
Molecule: ribosomal RNA, 145 nt
Filed under: Mycoplasmopsis canis
Lineage: Bacteria; Bacillati; Mycoplasmatota; Mycoplasmoidales; Metamycoplasmataceae
Also listed under: 1 other name
Description: Mycoplasma canis partial 16S ribosomal RNA
Rfam family: Bacterial small subunit ribosomal RNA
Source: RNAcentral